UACCUGCAGCUCAAGUGGUGAUCACUAUUAUUGGGCCUAAAACGUCCGUAGCCGGUUUAUUAAAUGCCUGGGUAAAUCGUAUAGCUUAACUAUACGAAUUCCGGGUAGACUGUUAAACUUGAGACCGGGAGAAGCCGGAGGUACUCCUGGGGUAGAGGUGAAAUUCUGUAAUCCUAGGGGGACCACCAGUGGCGAAGGCGUCCGGCUAGAACGGGUCUGACGGUGAGGGACGAAGCCCUGGGGCGCAAACCGGAUUAGAUACCCGGGUAGUCCAGGGUGUAAACGCUGCUUGCUUGAUGUUAGUCGGGCUCCGAGCCCGAUUAGUGUCGGAGAGAAGUUGUUAAGCAAGCUGCCUGGGAAGUACGGUCGCAAGACUGAAACUUAAAGGAAUUGGCGGGGAGCACAGCAACGGGUGGAGCGUGCGGUUU
RNAcentral lists this ribosomal RNA (428 nucleotides) under uncultured archaeon. RNAcentral's name for it is "bacterial SSU rRNA". It matches the Rfam family "Archaeal small subunit ribosomal RNA", at positions 474 to 903 of the family's 1478-position model. The record is from RNAcentral.